This 909-nucleotide ribosomal RNA is filed under the name Amanita shennongjiana. RNAcentral describes it as "eukaryotic LSU rRNA". It matches the Rfam family "Eukaryotic large subunit ribosomal RNA", at positions 65 to 937 of the family's 3401-position model. Lineage: Eukaryota; Fungi; Basidiomycota; Agaricomycetes; Agaricales; Amanitaceae. The record is from RNAcentral.
CUAACAAGGAUUCCCCUAGUAACUGCGAGUGAAGCGGGAAAAGCUCAAAUUUGAAAUCUGGCAGUCUUUUUUUUCUUCUUUGGCUGUCCGAGUUGUAAUCUAGAGAAGUGCUUACCUGCACUGGACCAUGUAUAAGUCUCCUGGAAUGGAGCGUCGCAGAGGGUGAGAAUCCCGUCUUUGACAUGGACUGCCAGUGUGUUGUGGUGUGCUCUCAAAGAGUCGAGUUGUUUGGGAAUGCAGCUCUAAAUGGGUGGUAAACUCCAUCUAAAGCUAAAUAUUGGCGAGAGACCGAUAGUGAACAAGUACCGUGAGGGAAAGAUGAAAAGGACUUUGGAAAGAGAGUUAAACAGUAUGUGAAAUUGUUGAAAGGGAAACGCUUGAAGUCAGUUAUGUUGGCUAGGGAUCAACCUAGCUGUUUUUUGCUGGGUGAACUUCCUAGUCUGACAGGCCAACAUCAGUUUUGACUGCUGGAAAAGAGCAGGGGGAAUGUGGCACCUUUGGGUGUGUUAUAGCCCUUUGUCAUAUGUGGCAGUUGGGACUGAGGGAUGCAGCAUGCCGCGAGGCUGGGUUUCUGACCACGUUCAUGCUUAGGAUGUUGGCUUUUAAUGGCUUCAAUCGACCCGUCUUGAAACACGGACCAAGGAGUCUAACAUGCCUGCGAGUGUUUGGGUGGGGAAAACCCUUGUGCACAAUGAAAGUGAAAGUUGAGAUCCCUGUCAUGGGGAGCAUCGACGCCCGGACCUGAGCUUUUAGCGACGGAUCCGCGGUAGAGCAUGCAUGUUGGGACCCGAAAGAUGGUGAACUAUGCCUGAAUAGGGCAAAGCCAGAGGAAACUCUGGUGGAGGCUCGUAGCGAUUCUGACGUGCAAAUCGAUCGUCAAAUUUGGGUAUAGGGGCGAAAGACUAAUCG